GCGAUGCGGGGUGCUAUACUGCAGUCGAGCGGACAGAUGGGAGCUUGCUCCCUGAUGUUAGCGGCGGACGGGUGAGUAACACGUGGGUAACCUGCCUGUAAGACUGGGAUAACUCCGGGAAACCGGGGCUAAUACCGGAUGGUUGUCUGAACCGCAUGGUUCAGACAUAAAAGGUGGCUUCGGCUACCACUUACAGAUGGACCCGCGGCGCAUUAGCUAGUUGGUGAGGUAACGGCUCACCAAGGCGACGAUGCGUAGCCGACCUGAGAGGGUGAUCGGCCACACUGGGACUGAGACACGGCCCAGACUCCUACGGGAGGCAGCAGUAGGGAAUCUUCCGCAAUGGACGAAAGUCUGACGGAGCAACGCCGCGUGAGUGAUGAAGGUUUUCGGAUCGUAAAGCUCUGUUGUUAGGGAAGAACAAGUGCCGUUCAAAUAGGGCGGCACCUUGACGGUACCUAACCAGAAAGCCACGGCUAACUACGUGCCAGCAGCCGCGGUAAUACGUAGGUGGCAAGCGUUGUCCGGAAUUAUUGGGCGUAAAGGGCUCGCAGGCGGUUUCUUAAGUCUGAUGUGAAAGCCCCCGGCUCAACCGGGGAGGGUCAUUGGAAACUGGGGAACUUGAGUGCAGAAGAGGAGAGUGGAAUUCCACGUGUAGCGGUGAAAUGCGUAGAGAUGUGGAGGAACACCAGUGGCGAAGGCGACUCUCUGGUCUGUAACUGACGCUGAGGAGCGAAAGCGUGGGGAGCGAACAGGAUUAGAUACCCUGGUAGUCCACGCCGUAAACGAUGAGUGCUAAGUGGUUAGGGGGUUUCCGCCCCUUAGUGCUGCAGCUAACGCAUUAAGCACUCCGCCUGGGGGAGUACGGUCGCAAGACUGAAACUCAAAGGAAUUGACGGGGGCCCGCACAAGCGGGGGAAGCAUGUGGUUUAAUUCGAAGCAACGCGA
RNAcentral lists this ribosomal RNA (948 nucleotides) under uncultured Bacillus sp. RNAcentral describes it as "bacterial SSU rRNA". It matches the Rfam family "Bacterial small subunit ribosomal RNA", at positions 33 to 964 of the family's 1533-position model. The record is from RNAcentral. Lineage: Bacteria; Bacillati; Bacillota; Bacilli; Caryophanales; Bacillaceae.